RNAcentral lists this ribosomal RNA (265 nucleotides) under uncultured bacterium. Its description in RNAcentral is "partial 16S ribosomal RNA". It matches the Rfam family "Bacterial small subunit ribosomal RNA", at positions 524 to 788 of the family's 1533-position model. The record is from RNAcentral.
UACGUAGGGGGCUAGCGUUGUCCGGAAUCAUUGGGCGUAAAGAGCGUGUAGGCGGCCUCGGUAAGUCCGCUGUGAAAGUCGGGGGCUCAACCCUCGAAUGCCGGUGGAUACUGUCGGGCUAGAGUGCGGAAGAGGCGAGUGGAAUUCCUGGUGUAGCGGUGAAAUGCGCAGAUAUCAGGAGGAACACCUAUUGCGAAGGCAGCUCGCUGGGACGUAACUGACGCUGAGACGCGAAAGCGUGGGGAGCAAACAGGAUUAGAACCGU